This 406-nucleotide ribosomal RNA is filed under the name uncultured bacterium. Its description in RNAcentral is "partial 16S ribosomal RNA". It matches the Rfam family "Bacterial small subunit ribosomal RNA", at positions 29 to 526 of the family's 1533-position model. The record is from RNAcentral.
AGUGAACGCUGGCGGCAGGCCUAACACAUGCAAGUCGAACGAGUGGCGGACGGGUGAGGAAUACAUAGGACUCUACUCUGUCGUGGGGGAAAACGUAGGGAAACUUACGCUAAUACCGCAUAAGAUGGAAUGAGCCGAUGUCGGAUUAGCUAGUUGGCGGGGUAAAGGCCCACCAAGGCGACGAGCCGUAGCUGGUCUGAGAGGAUGAUCAGCCACACUGGAACUGAGACACGGUCCAGACUCCUACGGGAGGCAGCAGUGGGGAAUAUUGGGCAAGGGGCGCAAGCCUGAUCCAGCCAUACCGCGUGUGUGAAGAAGGUCUUCGGAUUGUAAAGCACUUUAAGUGGGGAGGCGGUACCAACAGAGUAAGCACCGGCUAACUUCGUGCCAGCAGCCGCGGUAAUAC